Oncorhynchus keta (chum salmon) is the source of this 545-nucleotide long non-coding RNA. RefSeq lists it as uncharacterized. The transcript has 3 exons. Lineage: Eukaryota; Metazoa; Chordata; Actinopteri; Salmoniformes; Salmonidae. The record is from RefSeq and is a predicted model, not a curated record.
CCACCAUGUGGACUAUCCCCAGGUGGUCAGUGUCCCUCCUCCACCAUGUGGACUAUCCCCAGGUGGUCAGUGUCCCUCCUCCACCAUGUGGACUAUCCCCAGGUGGUCAGGUCAGUGUCCCUCCUCUACCAUGUGGACUAUCCCCAGGUGGUCAGUGUCCCUCCUCUACCAUGUGGACUAUUCCCAGGUGGUCAGUGUCCCUCCUCCACCAUGUGGACUAUCCCCAGGUGGUCAGUGUCCCUCCUCCACCAUGUGGACUAUCACCAGGUGGUCAGUGUCCCUCCUCCACCAUGUGGACUAUCCCCAGGUGGUCAGUGUCCCUCCUCCACCAUGUGGACUAUCACCAGGUGGUCAGUGUCCCUCCUCCACCAUGUGGACUAUCCCCAGGUGGUCAGGUCAGUGUCCCUCCUCCACCAUGUGGACUAUCACCAGGUGGUCAGUGUCCCUCCUCCACCAUGUGGACUAUCACCAGGUGGUCAGUGUCCCUCCUCCACCAUGUGGACUAUCCCCAGGUGGUCAGUGUCCCUCCUCCACCAUGUGGACUA